AUUUUACCUCUGUAGAAGAGUAAGCUGGAUGUAGCAUUGGGCAGCAUGAAGAAAACUGUUGAUAUUCUCUUUACAUUUGGCAUGACUUAAAAGCCACGUUCAUAACAGUAAUGCAGAUAUUGCAGGAAUAGCCCAACUGGCAGAUCUUCUUUUUCUAUAUGAUAUAAUUAUUUAUAGUGUAAAAUCCACUUUUCUUCAUCUACGCAGAAUGUUAUUGUAAUGUUUUUUGUUUUCUCUUCACUAGUGCAACAUGUGGGGAAAAAAAAAAAGCUUUACCCAGACCCUUCUCUGUGCAGUCUGAGAAAGUGAGCUACAGAUGGAUUCCAAAGGCAUCGUUUCUCGUGGAUCAUUCUUCACUGCUCAGGUUUGUCAAACAGCUCAUCUCCUGCAGAAUGUUGGGCCAAAACCUGUGAAGGCUGAAUUCUUGAACUUGUGAACUCAAUGACUGGUGCUGUGAUCUGCAGUAUUGUACCGUGACCAUCUGAGACUUCAGAGCUGACCUAGGUGUGUGACAUACAGGAGAGCUGCUCCCGAGGGAACAACAGGUGAUCUUUUUGUCAUAUGCAGAAAAUUGCCUGAGCAGCAGCUGCAAGAGGAAAGGAGAGUCUGGAAAGCUUUACUCCCUUGAUUUUGCUUCCAGGCUAUGACAGCUUUGUGCAAGACCGCUGUCUUCCUCUAUGCCUGCAGAUAGCCCAGAGCUGUUUCUAGUAAACCUACUGCAAACUAUGCUUAAGAAUCUCUGAGUUAUGCCUUUCUUAAAAGUGGUGCUGCAUGUUUUGUUGAGUUAGAAGUGUUUAGGUAGCUAAUGUGAUUCCGAUAAAUAUUAAGG
This 829-nucleotide long non-coding RNA is filed under the name Coturnix japonica (Japanese quail). Its description in RNAcentral is "lncRNA (ENSCJPG00005020953.1)". The record is from RNAcentral. Lineage: Eukaryota; Metazoa; Chordata; Aves; Galliformes; Phasianidae.